This 459-nucleotide ribosomal RNA is filed under the name uncultured bacterium. RNAcentral describes it as "partial 16S ribosomal RNA". It matches the Rfam family "Bacterial small subunit ribosomal RNA", at positions 339 to 795 of the family's 1533-position model. The record is from RNAcentral.
CUACGGGCCGCAGCAGUGAGGAAUAUUGGUCAAUGGGCGCGAGCCUGAACCAGCCAUCCCGCGUGCAGGAUGACGGCCCUAUGGGUUGUAAACUGCUUUUCUAUGCCAAGAAACCUGAUUACGUGUAAUCAGUUGCCGGUAGCAUAGGAAUAAGCAUCGGCUAACUCCGUGCCAGCAGCCGCGGUAAUACGGAGGAUGCAAGCGUUAUCCGGAUUCAUUGGGUUUAAAGGGUGCGCAGGUGGGCUUGUAAGUCAGUGGUGAAAUGCUGCCGCUUAACGGUAGAACUGCCAUUGAUACUGCGAGUCUUGAGUAUGGUUGAGGUAGGCGGAAUGUGUUGUGUAGCGGUGAAAUGCAUAGAUAUGACACAGAACGCCAAUUGCGAAGGCAGCUUACUAAGCCAUUACUGACGCUGAGGCACGAAAGCGUGGGGAGCGAACAGGAUUAGAUACCCUGGUAGUC